RNAcentral lists this small nucleolar RNA (176 nucleotides) under Drosophila persimilis. Its description in RNAcentral is "snoRNA:GL27839". It matches the Rfam family "Small nucleolar RNA U3", at positions 42 to 219 of the family's 219-position model. From Rfam's summary of the family: Small nucleolar RNAs (snoRNAs) are involved in the processing and modification of rRNA in the nucleolus. The record is from RNAcentral. Lineage: Eukaryota; Metazoa; Arthropoda; Insecta; Diptera; Drosophilidae.
CUUUCGCACAAAUUGAAAGCCAAACACACCCGCGUUGAUGAGUUAAAUCGUCCUAUUCGGCAGCGUGAGGUUUUGCCCAGCGCCCUUUCUGGUGCGGCACUUCGGUGUCCGUGUCGUUCGGGGCGCAGAGCUUCGAUGAUCGCUCGGUAAAACGGAUAGAACGAAUUCUGAGUGGU